GACGAACGCUGGCGGCGUGCUUAACACAUGCAAGUCGAACGGAAAGGCCCUGCUUUUGUGGGGUGCUCGAGUGGCGAACGGGUGAGUAACACGGGAGUAACCUUCCCUUGACUUUGGGAUAACUUCAGGAAACUGGGGCUAAUACCGGAUAGGAGCUCCUGCUGCAUGGUGGGGGUUGGAACGUUUCGGCGGUUGGGGAUGUACUCGCGGCUUAUCAGCUUGUGGGUGGGGUAGUGGCUUACCAAGGCUUUGACGGGUAGCCGGCCUGGGAGGGUGAACGGGCUCCAUGGGACUGCGGUACGCACCAGAGUGCUACGGGGGACAGCAGUGGGGAAUAUUGCACAGUGGUCGGAAGCCUGAUGAAGAAAUGCCGCGAGCGUGAUGACGGCCUAGGGGUUGUAAACCGCUUUAGCCUGUGACGAAGCGUGAGUGACGGUACUGGGUAAAGAAGCACCGGCUAACUACGUG
RNAcentral lists this ribosomal RNA (468 nucleotides) under uncultured bacterium. RNAcentral's name for it is "partial 16S ribosomal RNA". It matches the Rfam family "Bacterial small subunit ribosomal RNA", at positions 28 to 507 of the family's 1533-position model. The record is from RNAcentral.